AGAUUGAACGCUGGCGGCAUGCCUUACACAUGCAAGUCGAACGGCAGCACGGGAGCAAUCCUGGUGGCGAGUGGCGAACGGGUGAGUAAUACAUCGGAACGUGCCCAAUCGUGGGGGAUAACGCAGCGAAAGCUGUGCUAAUACCGCAUAAGAUCUACGGAUGAAAGCAGGGGAUCGCAAGACCUUGCGCGAAUGGAGCGGCCGAUGGCAGACUUAGGUAGUUGGUGAGGUAAAGG
This 236-nucleotide ribosomal RNA is filed under the name uncultured soil bacterium. Its description in RNAcentral is "partial 16S ribosomal RNA". It matches the Rfam family "Bacterial small subunit ribosomal RNA", at positions 26 to 263 of the family's 1533-position model. The record is from RNAcentral.